UAGGGAAUCUUCCACAAUGGGCGCAAGCCUGAUGGAGCAACACCGCGUGAGUGAAGAAGGGUUUCGGCUCGUAAAGCUCUGUUGUUAGAGAAGAAUGUGCGUGAGAGCAACUGUUCACGCAGUGACGGUAUCUAACCAGAAAGUCACGGCUAACUACGUGCCAGCAGCCGCGGUAAUACGUAGGUGGCAAGCGUUAUCCGGAUUUAUUGGGCGUAAAGCGAGCGCAGGCGGUUUGAUAAGUCUGAUGUGAAAGCCUUUGGCUUAACCAAAGAAGUGCAUCGGAAACUGUCAGACUUGAGUGCAGAAGAGGACAGUGGAACUCCAUGUGUAGCGGUGGAAUGCGUAGAUAUAUGGAAGAACACCAGUGGCGAAGGCGGCUGUCUGGUCUGCAACUGACGCUGAGGCUCGAAAGCAUGGGUAGCGAACAGGAUUAGAUACCCUGGUAGUCCAUGCCGUAAACGAUGAGUGCUAGGUGUUGGAGGGUUUCCGCCCUUCAGUGCCGCAGCUAACGCAUUAAGCACUCCGCCUGGGGAGUACGACCGCAAGGUUG
This 550-nucleotide ribosomal RNA is filed under the name uncultured bacterium. RNAcentral's name for it is "bacterial SSU rRNA". It matches the Rfam family "Bacterial small subunit ribosomal RNA", at positions 355 to 896 of the family's 1533-position model. The record is from RNAcentral.